RNAcentral lists this ribosomal RNA (347 nucleotides) under uncultured bacterium. RNAcentral describes it as "partial 16S ribosomal RNA". It matches the Rfam family "Bacterial small subunit ribosomal RNA", at positions 329 to 693 of the family's 1533-position model. The record is from RNAcentral.
UGCCAGACUCCUACGGGAGGCAGCAGUGGGGGAUAUUGCACAAUGGGGGGAACCCUGAUGCAGCGACGCCGCGUGGGUGAAGAAGCGCCUCGGCGCGUAAAGCCCUGUCAGCAGGGAAGAAAAUGACGGUACCUGAAGAAGAAGCCCCGGCUAACUACGUGCCAGCAGCCGCGGUAAUACGUAGGGGGCAAGCGUUAUCCGGAUUUACUGGGUGUAAAGGGGGCGCAGACGGCGAUGCAAGCCAGGAGUGAGAGCCCGGGUGGCAGCCCCGGGACUGCUCUUGGAACUGCGGGGAUGGAGUGCAGGAGGGGGAGGCGGAAUUCCUGGUGGAGCGGUGAAAGGCGUAG